RNAcentral lists this ribosomal RNA (818 nucleotides) under uncultured bacterium. RNAcentral describes it as "bacterial SSU rRNA". It matches the Rfam family "Bacterial small subunit ribosomal RNA", at positions 8 to 808 of the family's 1533-position model. The record is from RNAcentral.
AGAGUUUGAUCCUGGCUCAGGACGAACGCUGGCGGCGUGCCUAAUACAUGCAAGUAGAACGCUGAAGACUUUAGCUUGCUAAAGUUGGAAGAGUUGCGAACGGGUGAGUAACGCGUAGGUAACCUGCCUACUAGCGGGGGAUAACUAUUGGAAACGAUAGCUAAUACCGCAUAACAGCAUUUAACCCAUGUUAGAUGCUUGAAAGGAGCAAUUGCUUCACUAGUAGAUGGACCUGCGUUGUAUUAGCUAGUUGGUGAGGUAACGGCUCACCAAGGCGACGAUACAUAGCCGACCUGAGAGGGUGAUCGGCCACACUGGGACUGAGACACGGCCCAGACUCCUACGGGAGGCAGCAGUAGGGAAUCUUCGGCAAUGGGGGCAACCCUGACCGAGCAACGCCGCGUGAGUGAAGAAGGUUUUCGGAUCGUAAAGCUCUGUUGUAAGAGAAGAACGUGUGUGAGAGUGGAAAGUUCACACAGUGACGGUAACUUACCAGAAAGGGACGGCUAACUACGUGCCAGCAGCCGCGGUAAUACGUAGGUCCCGAGCCGUUGUCCGGAUUUUAUUGGGCGUAAAGCGAGCGCAGGCGGUUUAAUAAGUCUGAAGUUAAAGGCAGUGGCUUAACCAUUGUUCGCUUUGGAAACUGUUAGACUUGAGUGCAGAAGGGGAGAGUGGAAUUCCAUGUGUAGCGGUGAAAUGCGUAGAUAUAUGGAGGAACACCGGUGGCGAAAGCGGCUCUCUGGUCUGUAACUGACGCUGAGGCUCGAAAGCGUGGGGAGCAAACAGGAGGGAUACCCUGGUAGUCCACGCCGUAAACG